UCACACAAAAAUGAGGAGGAUGCAAACAGGGGGCAGAAAGGAGGAGGGCAAGAGGAGAAACAGUGAGAAAUGAAAUUAAACAGUGUCCAUGGGUAGUGACAGUAAGUGUUGUUCAGACUGCACCAGCUUGCAGCCAGAGUCUGGCUGAUGUAGCUGAUUCUUAACAAGCUGUUAUCACACUGCAGCACUGAGUUAGCUCAUGAUUUAACACUCAUUCUGCAUUUAAACACUGCAUCAUACACAUGUAGAAGAUGGAUUGCUGUCAUUUCCUGCCCCCUUGAUACAUUUUCCAAAUUUUUCUUCUCACUUUUCCUUCCAAUAUGGCACCCUGUGCUCCGAGGAUAUGACCCAGUUUCACUCGCUGAUCCAAUCCAACGUGACACAAGUUCAAAGGUUUGUAGCUAAAACCACGUCCUGCAGACAUUUAGCUCAAUCCAAGUGGAGACAGGAACGGUUCAUAUGCAGCAUUUCAUCUGUAAGCCUACUUCAAAUUCAUUUGCAUAAUUAGAUUUGUGCAGAUAUUUGUUUGAUAAAUAUAAACUAAAGUUGAUUACAUAUUGUUUUACCAGACAUGGAUGACUCAUUGACAGCAAUCAAACCCUUCUUCUAAGUGCUGAGCAGCUUUUUGCAUGUUUCCACUGAUAUUUGAAGGAUUUGUCUUGAAGAUGGGAAAUCUGGUGAGCCAUCAACCAGGGGUGUGAAAAAUAUUGAGCUCAACUGUACAUCAUCCAAUGCUAGAUCCUAAGAUAAACUGGCGCUUUUACAUUGAUGUUAGGAAGUUUCCCAGCAGGCUCAGUGCUGAAACAAUGUAUGUUGACUGGGGAGGAGGAAGAUGCAACCACAUUCCUAAUCGUUAGGAUGUUUACUGCUCAUGUUAGUCCUUUCCGAUUCUAGGGCUGAAGGUCUGAGCUACAGAGAGGCAUGGACUGGCUGGGUCUGACCAAGGUCAUGCUGGUCCGACUGAAACAUUACCAACUGCUGAUUGGCGCAGGACUAUUAUUAGCAUGUUGAGAACAUGAAAGAGAAAGUGUGUCAGCUUACGGUUUUGCCUGUUUGUUGGAAAACCUGCAGCAGAGAUGUGGCUUUGCAUAAAUGUAAUUCAACAAUAAAGGCCUCUGAUUUACCUGCGGGCAAACUGGAAGUUGGAAGAGGUGCUAGCAGAGAUAUUCCUGGGGCUUUCUG
This is a long non-coding RNA of Girardinichthys multiradiatus, 1182 nucleotides long. RefSeq lists it as uncharacterized. The record is from RefSeq and is a predicted model, not a curated record. The transcript is spliced from 3 exons. NCBI's taxonomy places the organism in Eukaryota, Metazoa, Chordata, Actinopteri, Cyprinodontiformes, Goodeidae.